Molecule: transfer RNA, 76 nt
Filed under: Clostridium sp. CAG:793
Lineage: Bacteria; Bacillati; Bacillota; Clostridia; Eubacteriales; Clostridiaceae
Description: transfer RNA-Pro(TGG)
Rfam family: tRNA
About the family: Transfer RNA (tRNA) molecules are approximately 80 nucleotides in length.
Source: RNAcentral
CGAGGUGUGGCUCAGUUGGUAGAGCGCGUGGUUUGGGACCAUGAGGCCGCAGGUUCGAUCCCUGUCACCUCGACCA